AGCUUUCUGAAUCCGUGCAGAGAUUUAGUCAGACACUAAUCCAUUAGGGCUGGUCAGACUUUCAAGAUAGGUGAAGUU
Molecule: non-coding RNA, 78 nt
Organism: Schistosoma rodhaini
Lineage: Eukaryota; Metazoa; Platyhelminthes; Trematoda; Strigeidida; Schistosomatidae
Source: Rfam